Molecule: long non-coding RNA, 376 nt
Organism: Loxodonta africana (African savanna elephant)
Lineage: Eukaryota; Metazoa; Chordata; Mammalia; Proboscidea; Elephantidae
Exons: 3
Source: RefSeq, a predicted model, not a curated record
GUAUUUUGGAGAAAAAAUUGGACUGUAUUUUGCCUGGCUGGGAUUAUACACGUCAUUCCUCAUCCCAUCUUCUGUAAUUGGAGUGAUCGUGUUUCUUUAUGGAUGUGCAACAAUUGAAGAAGAUAUUCCCAGCAAAGAGAUGUGUGACCAGCAGAAUGCCUUCACCAUGUGUCCUCUGUGUGACAAGUCCUGUGACUACUGGAACCUCAGCUCAGCCUGUGGUACGGCACGGGCCAGCCACCUGUUUGACAACCCUGCCACGGUCUUCUUCUCCAUCUUCAUGGCUCUGUGGGCUACCAUGUUUCUUGAGAACUGGAAGAGACUACAGAUGCGACUGGGCUACUUCUGGGACCUGACUGGUAUAGAAGAGGAAGAA